CAGCCAUUAAAACUGCGCGGCUUGAGUACAGGCGAGGCAGGCGGAACAAGUCAAGUAGCGGUGAAAUGCAUAGAUAUGACUUAGGACUCCGAUAGCGAAGGCAGCUUGCCAGGCUGGGACUGACGCUGAAGCACGAGAGCGCGGGUAGCGAACAGGAUUAGAUACCCUGGUAGUCCGCGCCGUAAACGAUGCUCACUGGUUCUUGGCGACAUACCGCCAGGGAUUCCGCGAAAGCCUUAAGUGAGCCACCUGGGGAGUACGUCGGCAACGAUGAAACUCAAAGGAAUUGACGGGGGCCCGCACAAGCGGAGGAACAUGUGGUUUAAUUCGAUGAUACGCGAGGAACCUUACCCGGGCUUGAACUGCGCCGGACUCACCCGGAAACGGGUGUUCCCUUUGGGGCCGGCGCGGAGGUGCUGCAUGGUUGUCGUCAGCUCGUGCCGUGAGGUGUCGGGUCAAGUCCCAUAACGAGCGCAACCCUUGCCGCCAGUUGCCAUCAGUUCGGCUGGGCACUCUGGCGGGACUGCCGCCGUAAGGUGCGAGGAAGGCGGGGAUGACGUCAAAUCAGCACGGCCCUUACGCCCGGGGCUACACACGUGUUACAAUGGCCGGCACAGCGGGCAGCGACCUGGUGACAGGGAGCGAAUCUCCAAAGCCGGUCGUAGUUCGGACUGGAGUCUGCAACCCGACUCCACGAAGCUGGAUUCGCUAGUAAUCGCGCAUCAGCCAUGGCGCGGUGAAUACGUUCCCGGGCCUUGUACACACCGCCCGUCAAGCCAUGGAAGCCGNNNNUACCUGAAGAUCGUGACCGCGAGGAGCGAGCUAGGGUAAUACCGGUAACUGGGGGUAAGUCGUAACAAGGUAACCA
This 868-nucleotide ribosomal RNA is filed under the name uncultured bacterium. RNAcentral describes it as "bacterial SSU rRNA". It matches the Rfam family "Bacterial small subunit ribosomal RNA", at positions 621 to 1502 of the family's 1533-position model. The record is from RNAcentral.